GACGAACGCUGGCGGCGUGCUUAACACAUGCAAGUCGAACGGUGAAGCGAGUGCUUGCACUCGUGGAUCAGUGGCGAACGGGUGAGUAACACGUGAGUAACCUGCCCAUCACUCUGGGAUAAGCACUGGAAACGGUGUCUAAUACUGGAUACGACCAACCCUUGCAUGGGGUGUUGGUGGAAAGAUUUAUCGGUGAUGGAUGGACUCGCGGCCUAUCAGCUUGUUGGCGGGGUAAUGGCCCACCAAGGCGACGACGGGUAGCCGGCCUGAGAGGGUGACCGGCCACACUGGGACUGAGACACGGCCCAGACUCCUACGGGAGGCAGCAGUGGGGAAUAUUGCACAAUGGGCGAAAGCCUGAUGCAGCGACGCCGCGUGAGGGAUGACGGCCUUCGGGUUGUAAACCUCUUUCAGCAGGGAAGAAGCGAAAGCGACGGUACCUGCGGAAGAAGCACCGGCUAACUACGUG
Molecule: ribosomal RNA, 469 nt
Filed under: uncultured bacterium
Lineage: Bacteria
Description: partial 16S ribosomal RNA
Rfam family: Bacterial small subunit ribosomal RNA
Source: RNAcentral